RNAcentral lists this ribosomal RNA (497 nucleotides) under uncultured bacterium. RNAcentral describes it as "partial 16S ribosomal RNA". It matches the Rfam family "Bacterial small subunit ribosomal RNA", at positions 28 to 507 of the family's 1533-position model. The record is from RNAcentral.
GAUGAACGCUGGCGGCGUGCCUAAUACAUGCAAGUCGAGCGAACGCACGGUAAGCUUUCGUCCCUGCUGUUAGCGGCUGACGGGUGAGUAACACGUGGAUAACCUACCUAUAAGACGUGGAUAACUUCGGGAAACCGGAGCUAAUACCGGAUAAUAUUUUGAACCGCAGGGUUCAGAAGUGAAAGACGGUCUUGCUGUCACUAUUAGCUGGUUCCGCGCUGCAUUAGCUAGUUGGUAAGGUAACGGCUUACCAAGGCAACGAUGCAUAGCCGACCUGAGAGGGUGAUCGGCCACACUGGAACUGAGACACGGUCCAGACUCCUACGGGAGGCAGCAGUAGGGAAUCUUCCGCAAUGGGCGAAAGCCUGACGGAGCAACACCGCGUGAGUGAUGAAGGUCUUCGGAUCGUAAAACCCUGUUAUUAGGGAAGAACAUAUGUGUAAGUAAAUGUGCACAUCUUGACGGUACCUAAUCAGAAAGCCACGGCUAACUACGUG